CCCCAGGCCCCCAGCCCCCCUCGCUCCGUCAUUGCAUCUUCCUCCUCGCGCGAUUCUCAAAAAAAAGAAAAAAAAUCUUCCUCCUCGCGCGAGCGCCGCCACCCCUCCCUCCCCAUCCUGCUGCCGGGCGCCGCAGACCCCUGCCUCGUCUUCCUCCACCGUAGCCUUCAUUGUGCAGAGGAACUCUGGAACUUUCCUUGUAAGUUGAGGUUUUGUAAUCUUGAAUGGAGUUUUCAUCAAGUGAAGGCGAUGAACUUGUUGAAGAUUUCAUGGAUGUUGAGGAUGAUACAGGCACUGGCAAUGUUGAUCAAGGAACUGGUGUGGUGACUUCCCAGACUCUUUGUGUUGAUCAUUCUGUUGGAAAUGAGUUACUGAUGGCGGCUGAUGGGUUGGGCAAAAAUGGUGAACCACGCAUCAGUAUGGAAUUUGAAUCUGAUGCAGCUGCACGUGCGUUCUACAAUGCAUAUGCACUACGCCUUGGGUUUGGCAUUCGUGUUGCUCGAUCCCGUAGUGAGAGGAGAAAGGGUGUUGAGGUACUCGUCAUGAAGCGUUUUGUGUGCAUGAAAGAGGGACAUCACAAGAAGAAAGCUGUUGAGUCUAGCAACAAAAAAAAGAGGAAGCGCCUCUCUAUACGUGACGGCUGCCCAGCAAUGAUGGAGGUGGUGAGGAGGGGGCCAGAAAAGUGGGUCAUCACGAAGUUGAUGCUGGAGCACACUCAUGUUGUUGUUAGCCCAGAUAAGGUACUGGAGGUCCAGCUCAAUCGUCUCUCUGGGAAGGAGCAUGACAACCAAUUGCUGGUGGUGCGGAGGAAUGUGUUUGGAGACACAGAUGCAUAUGGCCUCUUCAGCUACUUAAUGAGAAAGCAGUCGGAGAACUCUGGUUUUUUCUACAACAUACAAGUCGACAGUACAAACUGUUUGAGAAAUGCAGUUUGGGUUGAUGCAAAAUCUAAGAUGGCAUAUACAUACUUCGGAGAUGUUGUUUACUUCGACACUACUUAUAGUGAAAAUGAGAAUAUGUUGCCCUUUGCAGCUUUUACAGGCGCGAAUCAACAUGGUGAUAGUGUUGUUUUUGGUUGCGCACUGAUUUUGGAUAGGACAGAAUCUUCAUAUGCUUGGAUUUUUGAGACAUGGCUGACAGCAAUGGAAAAACGAUUGCCAUUUUCUUUUACAACAGAUGAAGGCAAAGCAAUGACAGAGGCAGUUGCCAAAGUUUUUCCUCAAUGCUUCCAUCGUCUUUGUAGAUGGAGAAUUCUUUCCAGGUGCAAGAAGAAACUGUCUGAUACCUAUAUGAGAUUUCCUGGGCUCCAUGGUGAGUUAAAAACAUGCAUCAACGAGUGUGAUGCCAUGCCUGUUUUUGACAUGUUCUGGGAUUCUAUUCUCGACAAGUAUGGCCUGAGGGAGAACACUUGGCUGCAGUAUCUAUUUGAAUCAAGACAUAAAUGGGUUCCUGCAUACCUGACAAGCUCCUUCUUUGCAGAGUUGUCGCUAGCACAUAGAGCUGAAACCGUCAGUACGUUUUAUAGGAAUAACUUCACUACAAAAGCUCCCCUCCUUGCUUUGAUCACUAGAUUUGAUCAACAUGUGGACAGAUCGUAUACAAAUGAAGCCCAGAAAGAUCUUGCUUCGUUUCAUCCUGAACAACUUCUGAAAACCAAUUCAAUCUUGGAAAAACAAGCGGGGAUCAUCUACACGAAGGCUGCAUUUGAAAUGUUCCAGAUGGAGUUGAUUGAAGCGCUACAUCAGUAUGCUGUUAAGGUUCAGGAUGGCUCUUACACCAAGUACUAUGUUGAAAGAGAUGCUGAUCCUCGUACCAGGCACACUGUUGUAUACAAUAUCUCUGAGAACAAGGCUUGGUGUGACUGCUGCAGGUUUUUGUUCUCGGGGGUACCGUGCAGACAUGUUCUGGCAGUUUUCAUCUCGGCUGAUGUCACCAUGCUACCAGAGCCAUGCAUCACGAAGCGAUGGACAAAAAAGGCGAAGACAGGGCCAGAGUCUGUUGGGCGUAGCCUCGAAGAUGAAAUCCGCCACGCAGAUUCUGCGACUUCGAGAUUCAAUGAUCUUGUUCGUGAUGCGAUGAAGUGCGCAGAGAAGGGAGCUGUAUCAGCAGGUUCCUUCAGAGUCGCGAAGGAAGUCCUGCGCAAAGCCUUUGGGCAAAUCGGGAAACUGACUAGAGCUGGUCCCCAGCAAGUUGACAACAGCAGAUAACAUCAGUGGUCAUCUUGCAACUACUCCUUGGAUGGAUUAUCUUGCUCUUGUUUCUGCAAGGAACCAAGUUCAGAACCCAGUUUUGUAUGGGUGGUCAGUGCUGUACUGUUCAGAAAGUUUAGAGAGGAACACUUAAGAUCAAUAAAGGUUUUAAAUUUCUAAAUACCUCUGAUUUCUUCAUGUUUUAUGCCUUGUCAUUUUAGGGGGUGCUCAUGAAUCAGGAGGCAGGUUAGCAUGUUGAAACUGUUUGUUGAAUCCUAUGUAUGCUCAUAAUGCACUAACUAUUUGAUCUGGUACUUAGAAGUCCUACAGGAAGCAAGGUAUAGAAACACCUCGUUAUCUGAUUCUGAAAAGGACUGCGAAUUAUGAGAUUUUGGUUAUGAGCAUAAAAAGUUCUGCAGGUCAGGAGAUAUCCACCAUUUUCAGUUGUCGAAGCAAAAGGAGAAAAACUAACAGGAUCAUCAGGUUUUAAUAAUGUUACUGGGUAUAUAUUUGGCAAGAAUGCUUCAUCUGAAAGAUUCCAAUGACUACACCUUUCUUCACUCAGGCUUCUGAUGACAAGCUCUCAGAUGUAUCCAUCCAGAUAGCCCUGCCAAUGAACAAAGACUUGAACAGUUUGCCAGCUCCAAAUACAGAAGCAGUUACCUUGCGAAAGGUAGAAGGAGGCGUUGCUGCCGUGAAAAAAUUCAGGAAGGAGCUCUACUUGGGUUUUAAUCCUGUACCGGGCCUCCACGAGAAAAGUUUUUUUUUCUUUCGGCCGGUUGCGAACUUGCGAUAGCAGUGGCCCGUGGGCUAUCUGUGUGAUGCGACCAUCUUGACCUGGAUUUCUCCAAAACAAAAAUAAUCGACUGAGUUGAGCUAGAUCAAACAACUCAUUCCUCUCAAAAAAAAAGUUGAGCUAGAUCAAA
Molecule: RNA transcript, 3115 nt
Organism: Brachypodium distachyon (stiff brome)
Lineage: Eukaryota; Viridiplantae; Streptophyta; Magnoliopsida; Poales; Poaceae
Gene name: probable carboxylesterase 18
Exons: 5
Source: RefSeq, a predicted model, not a curated record